RNAcentral lists this unclassified non-coding RNA (179 nucleotides) under uncultured Chaetothyriales. RNAcentral describes it as "sequence contains ITS2". The record is from RNAcentral. Lineage: Eukaryota; Fungi; Ascomycota; Eurotiomycetes; Chaetothyriales.
UCACCCCUCAAGCCCCGUGCUUGGUGUUGGACGGCUUGGUCGCGUGAAUCGACCCCUCCCAAAGACAAUGGCGGCGGCCUGUGGAUCCCCCGGUACACUGAGCUUUCAACCGAGCACGUACCGGACGAGGGCGCCCAGCACGCGGUCCUCUCCUCUCAGUAGGAAACUCUUCGCACAAA